AGUUGUGAGGCGUGGAGUGUGUCAGUUGUGAGGCGUGGAGUGUGUCAGUUGUGAGGCGUGGAGUGUGUCAGUUGUGAGGCGGGGAGUGUGCCAGUUGUGAGGCGGGGAGUGUGCCAGUUGAACUUUUUGAAACACAGUGUGUGAACUGCCAAAGAUACAGUGUUUGGAAUGCUGAAUAUAGAAUAGUCAACUCACCACUAUAAGUUAACACACAGAGGAACUAGUUAUGAAAUGACAAUAUUGGUUUACUAAUAAUAUCUUGGUCUUAUAUUUUAAGGAUUUUAAGAAUGCUGAAGCAUAUCACUCUUUGUCAUGUCUAAGGAUACGUUGGAAGUACAGUAUAUUAAGGCAUUUUUUAAGUUUAAUGAUUCAUUCCGUUAAAUAGUUAUGUUUGUAUGCCUGUGGGUUGUUUUUUAAACUGCUGUGAUUGAUUCAGCUGUGCUUGAGCUUGUAAAAGUCCUUUUAAUAAAAAGAGAAUGGUUUAUGAUGAAUUGUUUCUUUAGAAAUGUUUUUUUAGCAAUGUCUGUAAUUAAGUAAUGUACCAUGAUAAACAUUUUAUUUAAAUCUGCUUUUGUUUUUACAGCCACCUGAAUCUUCAAAAUAAUUCCUCCAACUAGCACAGAAUUCCUAUGAAAUAAGAUUGUAUUUGUCACAUACAAUACAACAGGUGUAGACUAUACCAUGAAAUGCUUAUUUACGAUCCCUUUCCCAACAAUACAGAGUUAAAAAGUACAAAAAUGUGCUAAAUAAAAAAAGGAAAUAGUAACACAAUAAAAUAUUAAUAACGAGACUAUAAACAAGGACUACCGGUACCGAGUGAAUAUGCAGGGAUACGAGGUAAUUAUGCACAUGUAGGUAAGGGUAAAAGUGACAAGGCAAUCAGGAUAGAUAAUAAACAGAGUAGCAGCAAUGUAUGCAAAGAGUGAAAGUGUGUGUAUGAGUGUGUGUGCGGUGUCAGUGUGUGUGUGUGUGUGCAUGCGUGCGUGCGUUGGUGUCAGUGUAGUUGUGUGAGUGUGUAGGAACACUUUCACCAACAGAAGGGUGAAUUUAUAAUGUGUGUAGGCGAUGUGUAAAAGCCACAUGAUACAUAUAGGACUUCCUGUACAAAAGGGGAUUUUAACAGCCUUAUAUGUGCAUUUUGAUUAAAU
Molecule: long non-coding RNA, 1148 nt
Organism: Oncorhynchus tshawytscha (Chinook salmon)
Lineage: Eukaryota; Metazoa; Chordata; Actinopteri; Salmoniformes; Salmonidae
Source: Ensembl